Molecule: ribosomal RNA, 253 nt
Filed under: uncultured bacterium
Lineage: Bacteria
Description: partial 16S ribosomal RNA
Rfam family: Bacterial small subunit ribosomal RNA
Source: RNAcentral
UACAGAGGGGGCAAGCGUUAUUCGGAAUUAUUGGGCGUAAAGGGCGCGUAGGCGGCUUGGCAAGUGGAUGGUGAAAUCCCUCGGCUUAACCGAGGAACUGCCGUCCAAACUGCUUCGCUUGAGACCGGGAGAGGUGAGUGGAAUUCCCAGUGUAGCGGUGAAAUGCGUAGAUAUUGGGAGGAACACCAGUGGCGAAGGCGGCUCACUGGACCGGUACUGACGCUGAUGCGCGAAAGCCAGGGGAGCAAACGGG